Molecule: ribosomal RNA, 494 nt
Filed under: uncultured bacterium
Lineage: Bacteria
Description: bacterial SSU rRNA
Rfam family: Bacterial small subunit ribosomal RNA
Source: RNAcentral
GAUGAACGCUAGCGGCAGGCUUAAUACAUGCAAGUUGAGGGGCAGCAUGAUAUACGCGAGUAUAUUGAUGGCGACCGGCGGACGGGUGAGUAAUAGGUAGGAGACCUACCUCAUACAGGGGGAUAGCAUAGAGAAAUCUGUGGUAAUACCCCAUGAGGUUAUAUGAAUAGAGGCAUAUAAUCAAAGCAUAAGCGAUUAUGCGGUAUGAGAGGGGCCUACUGACCAUUAGCCUAGUUGGUGAGGUAAGGGCUCACCAAGGCGAAGAUGGUUAGGGGUUUUGAGAGAGAGACCCCCCACAUUGGAACUGAGAGACGGUCCAGACUCCUACGGGAGGCAGCAGUAGGGAAUAUUGGGCAAUGGGCGAAAGCCUGACCCAGCCAUGCCGCGUGAAGGAAGACGGCCUUAUGGGUUGUAAACUUCUUUACUACGCGAAUAGAGGUUAGUACGAGAUACUAAUAGGAAGUAGUGUAGUAAAAGCACCGGCUAACUCCGUG